RNAcentral lists this ribosomal RNA (1341 nucleotides) under metagenome. Its description in RNAcentral is "bacterial SSU rRNA". It matches the Rfam family "Bacterial small subunit ribosomal RNA", at positions 53 to 1415 of the family's 1533-position model. The record is from RNAcentral.
ACAUGCAAGUCGAACGAGCGAGAGAGAGCUUGCUUUCUCAAGCGAGUGGCGAACGGGUGAGUAACGCGUGAGGAACCUGCCUCAAAGAGGGGGACAACAGUUGGAAACGACUGCUAAUACCGCAUAAGCCCACGGUGCCGCAUGGCACAGAGGGAAAAGGAGCAAUCCGCUUUGAGAUGGCCUCGCGUCCGAUUAGCUAGUUGGUGAGGUAAUGGCCCACCAAGGCGACGAUCGGUAGCCGGACUGAGAGGUUGAACGGCCACAUUGGGACUGAGACACGGCCCAGACUCCUACGGGAGGCAGCAGUGGGGAAUAUUGCACAAUGGGGGAAACCCUGAUGCAGCGACGCCGCGUGGAGGAAGAAGGUCUUCGGAUUGUAAACUCCUGUUGUUGAGGAAGAUAAUGACGGUACUCAACAAGGAAGUGACGGCUAACUACGUGCCAGCAGCCGCGGUAAAACGUAGGUCACAAGCGUUGUCCGGAAUUACUGGGUGUAAAGGGAGCGCAGGCGGGAAGACAAGUUGGAAGUGAAAUCUAUGGGCUCAACCCAUAAACUGCUUUCAAAACUGUUUUUCUUGAGUAGUGCAGAGGUAGGCGGAAUUCCCGGUGUAGCGGUGGAAUGCGUAGAUAUCGGGAGGAACACCAGUGGCGAAGGCGGCCUACUGGGCACCAACUGACGCUGAGGCUCGAAAGUGUGGGUAGCAAACAGGAUUAGAUACCCUGGUAGUCCACACCGUAAACGAUGAUUACUAGGUGUUGGAGGAUUGACCCCUUCAGUGCCGCAGUUAACACAAUAAGUAAUCCACCUGGGGAGUACGACCGCAAGGUUGAAACUCAAAGGAAUUGACGGGGGCCCGCACAAGCAGUGGAGUAUGUGGUUUAAUUCGACGCAACGCGAAGAACCUUACCAAGUCUUGACAUCCCUUGACGAACAUAGAAAUAUGUUUUCUCUUCGGAGCAAGGAGACAGGUGGUGCAUGGUUGUCGUCAGCUCGUGUCGUGAGAUGUUGGGUUAAGUCCCGCAACGAGCGCAACCCUUAUGGUCAGUUACUACGCAAGAGGACUCUGGCCAGACUGCCGUUGACAAAACGGAGGAAGGUGGGGAUGACGUCAAAUCAUCAUGCCCUUUAUGACUUGGGCUACACACGUACUACAAUGGCGUUAAACAAAGAGAAGCAAGACCGCGAGGUGGAGCAAAACUCAGAAACAACGUCCCAGUUCGGACUGCAGGCUGCAACUCGCCUGCACGAAGUCGGAAUUGCUAGUAAUCGCAGAUCAGCAUGCUGCGGUGAAUACGUUCCCGGGCCUUGUACACACCGCCCGUCACACCAUGAGAGCCAGG